CGAACGGGGGCGGCGGCGAUGAAAUGAUUAGCUUGCUAAGAAUGGAAAAGCGGCCGUCCUAGUGGCGGACGGGUGAGUAACGCGUGGGCAACCUGCCCUGUACAGGGGGAUAACACUUAGAAAUAGGUGCUAAUACCGCAUGAGCGCACAAAGGCGCAUGCCUAUGUGCGGGAAGCCCGCGAGGGCGGUACGGGAUGGGCCCGCGUCUGAUUAGCCAGUUGGCAGGGUAACGGCCUACCAAAGCGACGAUCAGUAGCCGGCCUGAGAGGGUGGACGGCCACAUUGGGACUGAGACACGGUCCAAACUCCUACGGGAGGCAGCAGUGGGGGAUAUUGCACAAUGGGGGAAACCCUGAUGCAGCGACGCCGCGUGAGUGAAGGAGCGUUUCGGCGCGUAAAGCUCUAUCAGCAGGGAAGACAAACUGCCCCGGAAGGGGCAGCCGGACGGUACCUGACCAAGAAGCCCCGGCUAACUACGUGCCAGCAGCCGCGGUAAUACGUAGGGGGCAAGCGUUAUCCGGAUUUACUGGGUGUAAAGGGAGCGUAGACGGCAAGACAAGCCUGGAGUGAAAGGCGGGGGCCCAACCCCCGGACUGCUCUGGGAACUGUCUGGC
This 614-nucleotide ribosomal RNA is filed under the name uncultured bacterium. RNAcentral describes it as "bacterial SSU rRNA". It matches the Rfam family "Bacterial small subunit ribosomal RNA", at positions 30 to 641 of the family's 1533-position model. The record is from RNAcentral.